This 1704-nucleotide ribosomal RNA is filed under the name Triticum aestivum (bread wheat). RNAcentral's name for it is "partial small subunit ribosomal RNA". The record is from RNAcentral. Lineage: Eukaryota; Viridiplantae; Streptophyta; Magnoliopsida; Poales; Poaceae.
AUGAGGUCGCUCAUCUCCGAGCACGCGCGCCACUCCCCCGCGCGGCCUCCGCCCUUCUCCGGCGGCGAGACCCCGUCGCGGCGCCGCAUUCCCAAGGAGAACGUCUACUCGGGGACUGCGCCGCCGUCCGGGGACCCCUACCGCUCCCCUUCCUCCGCCGCCAAGCCGCUCGGGGACAUCACGCCCACACUCAACCGUGCCCUCCCGCCGCGGCCCCUCAAGCGGAAGCUCGACGUCUCCCCCGCCGUGGGCCCGCGGCCGGAAGCGGAAGCUGCCGACUCCGGGGUCCAGGUUGUGGUGAGGAUACGGCCCCCGUGCUCGGUGGAGGGGGAGGAGGCACCUGACACGUGCCUCUGCAAAACGUCGGCCAACUCUGUCGCCAUUCAAGGCCAGGGCUUCACCUUCGACGCCAUCGCCGACGCAGCCUCUACGCAGGAAGAGUUUUUCACACCUGUUGGGCCACCACUCGUCGAGAAUUGUUUGGCGGGGUUGAACAGCUCGAUUUUUACCUAUGGCCAGACUGGGAGUGGAAAGACAUACACUAUGUGGGGCCCUCUCUCUGCAACUUCAGGUGACUCAAUGGCCUGCGAGAGGGGACUGGCACCCCUUGUUUUUGAGCACUUGUUCUCCCGCAUUAAACAAGAACAGCAGAAGCACAAAGACAAGGAGCUAAUUUACAGUUGCACCUGCGCUUUUCUCGAUAUCUACAACGAACAGAUAACUGAUUUGCUAGACCCCAUGCAAAAGAAUCUUCAGAUAAGAGAGGAUGUUAAAACUGCUUGUGUUUAUGUUGAAUCGUUGACAAAGGAGUCUGUUUUCGCUAUGAAGGAUGUAGCUCAGCUGUUGGUGAAGGGGUUGGCAAACCGGAGAACAGAGUCAACAAGUGCCAAUGCAGACAGUUCACGCUCUCAUUGUGUUUUCACAUGUGUCAUCAAAUCUGAAUCAAAGAAUCUCGAAGAUGGCUCAAACAGCAUUAGAAUGAGCAGGAUGAAUUUAGUAGAUCUUGCUGGAUCUGAGCGGCAAAAGCUAACCCAUGCAGCUGGGGAUCGCCUAAAAGAAGCAGGAAAUAUAAACCGGUCACUUUCAGCACUUGGAAACUUGAUUAAUAUACUAGCAGAAAUUUCACAAUCUGGAAAACAAAGACAGCAUGUUCCGUAUCGCAAUUCAAAGUUGAAAUUUCUAUUACAAGAAUCCCUGGGUGGUAAUGCAAUGCUUGCAAUGAUUUGUACUGUUUCGCCGUCAGAAAGCUGUAAGAGUGAAACCUUGAGCACUCUAAGGUUUGCCCAACGCGCCAAGGCUGUAAAAAACAGGGCAGUUGUCAAUGAAGAAAAAGAGGACGAUGUCAAUGCACUGCAUGUUCGGAUGAAGCUUUUAAAGGAUAACAUUGUGGAUGCUGCUGAUUGGGCAGAGGCUGAGAGUAAAUGGAUGGCUCUGGCAGAUGAGCUGAGGGCCGAGCUUGAAGCAAGCAAAUCCCUUGUUGGGAGGUUGCGGUCGGAAUUGGAGUCAGAGAAGAAAUGCUCGAAGGAGGCACUGGAAGCAGCAAUGCAGGCAUAUUCCAGAAUCUUGGUACAAUAUGCUGAGCUUGAAGAAAAGUAUAUUCUUGAUGGGGUCGAGGGCCAGCUGAAGGAUACAUCUGAAGGUCCUGGCGAAUUGUUAGUCCGAUUGAAGGAGGCUGAGGAGGCGACAAGAAUUGCCGAGCACUGA